AGGACGAACGCUGGCGGCGUGCUUAACACAUGCAAGUCGAGCGGUAAGGCCUUUCGGGGUACACGAGCGGCGAACGGGUGAGUAACACGUGGGUGAUCUGCCCUGCACUCUGGGAUAAGCCUGGGAAACUGGGUCUAAUACCGGAUAUGACCUGCUCUCGCAUGGGGGUGGGUGGAAAGAUUUAUCGGUGCAGGAUGGGCCCGCGGCCUAUCAGCUUGUUGGUGGGGUAAUGGCCUACCAAGGCGACGACGGGUAGCCGACCUGAGAGGGUGACCGGCCACACUGGGACUGAGACACGGCCCAGACUCCUACGGGAGGCAGCAGUGGGGAAUAUUGCACAAUGGGCGAAAGCCUGAUGCAGCGACGCCGCGUGAGGGAUGAAGGCCUUCGGGUUGUAAACCUCUUUCAGCAGGGACGAAGCGCAAGUGACGGUACCUGCAGAAGAAGCACCGGCUAACUACGUGCCAGCAGCCGC
RNAcentral lists this ribosomal RNA (475 nucleotides) under uncultured soil bacterium. RNAcentral's name for it is "bacterial SSU rRNA". It matches the Rfam family "Bacterial small subunit ribosomal RNA", at positions 26 to 518 of the family's 1533-position model. The record is from RNAcentral.